AGCGCACGCUUUCUUCCUUCUUAACACAUGCAAGUCGAGCGGGCACUUUCGGGUGUCAGCGGCGGACGGGUGAGUAACGCGUGGGAACGUGCCCUCUGGUUCGGAAUAACUCAGGGAAACUUGAGCUAAUACCGGAUACGCCCUUUUGGGGAAAGGCUUGCUGCCGGAGGAUCGGCCCGCGUCUGAUUAGCUAGUUGGUGCGGUAACGGCUCACCAAGGCGACGAUCAGUAGCUGGUCUGAGAGGAUGAUCAGCCACACUGGGACUGAGACACGGCCCAGACUCCUACGGGAGGCAGCAGUGGGGAAUAUUGGACAAUGGGCGCAAGCCUGAUCCAGCCAUGCCGCGUGAGUGAUCAAGGCCUUAGGGUUGUAAAGCUCUUUUAUCCGGGACGAUAAUGACGGUACCGGAGGAAUAAGCCCCGGCUAACUUCGUG
Molecule: ribosomal RNA, 435 nt
Filed under: uncultured bacterium
Lineage: Bacteria
Description: partial 16S ribosomal RNA
Rfam family: Bacterial small subunit ribosomal RNA
Source: RNAcentral